CUCUCUUUCUCUCUCUGAUUGGCGACCUUUUUAUCUCUAUAGAUCGACAGGGCGGCUUCGAUUCUCUUCAAUUUCAACGAUCCGAGCUGGAGUUCGAUCGAUUUGUUCAGAAAUUGGACGCCUUUGGAUUGGAAUUCGAUUCGGGAAGCUGUAUUUAGGGUUUCGAUUCUGGUGGCUGAUGGUGGAAGGUGGGACUUUGUGGUGGAUCUGGGAGUUGAAAUUAAUUUAAGGACUUGGAGUGGGGGUUGGAUUUUGGGAUAAAGGAGAGGGGAUUGAUGGUACUCGAGGGCGAAAAUGCAAGGCUAUGCAUGGGC
This 314-nucleotide unclassified non-coding RNA is filed under the name Hevea brasiliensis (rubber tree). Lineage: Eukaryota; Viridiplantae; Streptophyta; Magnoliopsida; Malpighiales; Euphorbiaceae. The record is from RNAcentral.